Molecule: ribosomal RNA, 376 nt
Filed under: uncultured bacterium
Lineage: Bacteria
Description: bacterial SSU rRNA
Rfam family: Bacterial small subunit ribosomal RNA
Source: RNAcentral
UACGUAGAUGGCAAGCGUUAUUCGGAUUUACUGGGCGUAAAGGGUCCGCAGGGUGUUUGUCAAGUCUGAUGUGAAAGCCUACGGCUCAACCGUAGAAAUGCAUUGGAAACUGAUGAACUCGAGGGUGUCAGAGGAAAGCGGAAUUCCCGGUGUAGCGGUGGAAUGCGUAGAUAUCGGGAAGAACACCAAUGGCGAAGGCAGCUUUCUGGGGCAUACCUGACCCUCAGGGACGAAAGCGUGGGGAGCAAACAGGAUUAGAUACCCUGGUAGUCCACGCCCUAAACGGUGCGCACUCGAUGUGGGAGGAAUUAGCCCCUUCCGUGUCUUAGCUAACGCGUUAAGUGCGCCGCCUGGGGACUACGGCCGCAAGGCUAAA